RNAcentral lists this ribosomal RNA (1355 nucleotides) under uncultured bacterium. Its description in RNAcentral is "bacterial SSU rRNA". It matches the Rfam family "Bacterial small subunit ribosomal RNA". The record is from RNAcentral.
UUUGAUUAUGGCUUAAGAAUGAAAUGCUGGCGGCGUGCCUAACACAUGCAAGUUCGAGCGGCAGCGAGGGGAGCUUGCACCCUGUCGGCGAGCGGCGGACGGCUGAGUAACGCGUGGGAAUCCUACCCUAAAGUGAGGGAUCACCGCCCGAAAGGGUUGGCUAAUACCGCAUAUGAUCUUCGGAAUUAAAGGAUUUAUCCGCUUUUAGGAAGAGCCCGCGUUAGAUUAGGUAGUUUGGUAGGGUAAUGGCCUACCAAGCCAACGAUCUAUAGCUGGUCUGAGAGGAUGAUCAGCCAGACUGGAACUGAGACACGGUCCAGACUCCUACGGGAGGCAGCAGUGAGGAAUCUUCCACAAUGGGCGAAAGCCUGAUGGAGCAACGCCGCGUGAAGGAUGAAGGCCUUCGGGUUUGUAAACUUCUUUUAUGAGUGAAGAAUAUGACGGUAACUCAUGAAUAAGCACCGGCUAACUACGUGCCAGCAGCCGCGGUCAUACGUAGGGUGCAAGCAUUAUCCGGAGUGACUGGGCGUAAAGAGUUGCGUAGGCGGUUUAAUAAGUGAAUAGUGAAACCUGGUGGCUCAACCAUACAGACUAUUAUUCAAACUGUUAAACUCGAGAGUAGUAGAGGUAACUGGAAUUUCUAGUGUAGGAGUGAAAUCCGUAGAUAUUAGAAGGAACACCAAUGGCGUAGGCAGGUUACUGGACUAUUUCUGACGCUAAGGCACGAAAGCGUGGGGAGCGAACUGGAUUAGAUACCCAGGUAGUCCACGCCGUAAACGAUGGAUACUAGCUGUUGGAGGUAUCGACCCCUUCAGUAGCGAAGCUAACGCGUUAAGUAUCCCGCCUGUGGAGUACGGCCGCAAGGCUAAAACAUAAAGGAAUUGACGGGGACCCGCACAAGCGGUGGAUCAUGUUCUUUAAUUCGAUGAUAAACGAAGAACCUUACCAGGGUUUGACAUCCCGAGAAGAUUUACGAAAGUAGAUUGUGCCUUUUGGAACUCGGUGACAGAUGAUGCAUGGCCGUCGUCAGCUCGUGUCGUGAGAUGUUUGGUUAAGUCCAUCAACGAGCGCAACCCUUGUGAAUAGUUGAAUUUUUCUAUUCAGACUGCCCCGGCAACGGGGAGGAAGGAGGGGAUGAUGUCAGGUCAGUAUUUCUCUUACAUCCUGGGCUAGAAACGUGAUACAAUGGCAAGUACAAUGCGCAGCGAAGCCGCGAGGUGAAGCAAAUCGCACCAAAGCUUGUCCCAGUUCGGAUUGGAGGCUGAAACUCGCCUCCAUGAAGUCGGAAUCGCUAGUAAUCGCAGGUCAGCAAACUGCGGUGAAUACGUUCCCGGGUCUUGUACACACCGCCCGUC